AUGACUACCUGCUUCUCUGACAUUAUCAAAGAUCAUUCCCUUGAUUUCAUAGGAUUACAGGAAACCAAAAAGAAAGAGAUUCCUCCUAAAUUCUUACGCAAGAUUGAUCCUUAUGAUAGAUUUGCUUGGAACUGGGUACCUUCUAUUGGCAAAUCCGGUGGCAUCCUUUGUGGUAUCAAAAGAGAAACUCUGGAAGUUGUUUCCUGGACAGUGGGCAGAUUUUGCUUGCAAGCAAUCCUUUUUGAUAUAAACCUGAAAUGUGUGUGGGCCCUUAUAGUUGUAUAUGGUGCGGCACAGGAUGAUAAGAAAGAAGACUUCCUUUGUGAACUUGCAUCCAUGUGUUCCCAUCUCCAGGUCCCUUAUAUUGUGGGAGGGGAUUUCAAUAUUCUUCGUGAAAGCUGUGAGAAAAAUAAGAAUUUAAAUCGGUCCCCUUACAUGGAUAAAUUCAAUUCCAUCAUCCAAUCUCUGAACCUGUGUGAGAUACAUAUGAGAGGGGGCAAAUACACCUGGUCCAACCACCAGAGACAUCCUACCUUAGAAAAGCUCGAUAGAGUUCUUAUGAGUUUUGAAUGGGAGGACCUAUUUCCCCUGGUCACUGUCCGGAAGCUAGUACGGGACGUGUCAGACCAUAAUCCUCUCCUACUGUCAUCUGACUCAACUGUAACAAGACCCACUCGACAACGUGAGUUUAGAUUGUUAGAGAUGUGUCAAAUAUGGUGUACAAGGUAG
This 729-nucleotide ribosomal RNA is filed under the name Triticum aestivum (bread wheat). RNAcentral's name for it is "partial small subunit ribosomal RNA". The record is from RNAcentral. Lineage: Eukaryota; Viridiplantae; Streptophyta; Magnoliopsida; Poales; Poaceae.